UCCUCCGAGGCUGGCGAUCCGCGGAGCUCCCACCUCCGUUUAGAGCUCGCUGCGGCCGUCCUGCCCCGCGCCCCCCGGAGACCUGGACCGGACCAUGAUGUGGAAACGCUGGCUCGCGCUCGCGCUGGUGGCGGUCGCCUGGGUCCGCGCCGAGGAAGAGCUAAGGAGCAAAUCCAAGAUCUGUGCCAAUGUGUUUUGUGGAGCCGGCCGGGAAUGUGCGGUCACAGAGAAAGGGGAACCCACCUGUCUCUGCAUUGAGCAAUGCAAACCUCACAAGAGGCCUGUGUGUGGCAGUAAUGGCAAGACCUACCUCAACCACUGUGAACUGCAUCGAGAUGCCUGCCUCACUGGAUCCAAAAUCCAGGUUGAUUACGAUGGACACUGCAAAGAGAAGAAAUCCGUAAGUCCAUCUGCCAGCCCAGGUGAGUGCCUAUUUUUUCUACUGUGUGCACUCAGGGAGGACAUUCUUUUCAUGAUAGAAAUUUUGUGUUCCACAAUCCCUGCCAAGCUUAUAAGAUCUUCUAUGCAUCAGAAUUGUGUCCCAGAACUGGCCACUCCUCAACACAGCUCAGAAAAGCUGCAAAACUACAUUUGUGUAUGUGUUUUCCAAUUGAAGCAGCUGGUUGGGUCAGAAUGUUGGCUGUGUUUUCCCAUUUUUCCUGAGUAGUGAUUGAACUGCAUGAACAGGAAAGCCACUGAGUUCAUUUUUCAACAUCCUAUUAAGACAUGCUCAUGUCAUGGGACCAGCAAGUAGAAGGCACAACUCUUUUUGAAAGGGGAUAACUGGAAAUGCCAGGAAGACUUCUGUGGUUUUCUAUUAGUGAUCACUAAAAUUUUGUCAUGAUUUAUAGUUACAGAGCUUUUUUGCACAUACUUUCCUUAGAUUCUCACAAUAACCUUUGUGAAGUAGAUCUUAUUGUAAUUACCAUAUAGAUGAGGAAAUUGAGGCUCAAAGAGGCUAAGUGAGUUUUCUGUAUCACACAACUAGUAAUUGGCAGACUGGGGAAGAACUCCCAGAUUUUCAUUUCCCUGGCCCAGUGCCCUUUUCAUCCACAGCAUGUGUUGUCUUCCAGGAAUUCUCUUUUGCCAAAGCUUUCUCUCCUCUGCUUCCCCAUCCACUCAACUCUUAGCACCCCCUGUUAUUUCCAGUGGACAACAGCUGUCCAGAGCAGGGCUUCGACAUAGCCCUUGCUGGGCUUCACAUUCUGUUGUUCAUAAUAAAGGAUGAUGCAGGUGGUAUACAGUUGUAAGUGGGGGGAAGUUUGGAUGGACCUAGUUGGUGAGAAAGUGAGAAACUGGAGAAAAUCAGAAAUCUAGUGGCAUAAAAACUGUAAUAUUCUCAUUUAUUCAUGUAUUAUUUCAGCUCAUCUUUGAGUCAAGAGAGCUGCUUUAUUGAUUUUUUCCCCUUCAGCUUCCU
RNAcentral lists this small RNA (1417 nucleotides) under Pongo abelii (Sumatran orangutan). RNAcentral's name for it is "retained intron". The record is from RNAcentral. Lineage: Eukaryota; Metazoa; Chordata; Mammalia; Primates; Hominidae.